Molecule: long non-coding RNA, 633 nt
Organism: Poeciliopsis prolifica (blackstripe livebearer)
Lineage: Eukaryota; Metazoa; Chordata; Actinopteri; Cyprinodontiformes; Poeciliidae
Exons: 4
Source: RefSeq, a predicted model, not a curated record
GAGACAUCAAGAGAUUACGGAAAAUCACGCGAGAUAACUGGCUUGCACCUUGUUGGGUUUUUUCAAGGGCAGAGGGGAGAUUCCUGGCGUGCAUCUACUUAAUUUGAAGAAGAACAUCACCUGUCUGUAAUCCACCUGCGUAAGUACUGGUCAAGGGGCUCAUCGGCUAUCAAGUUAUAGAUUUCAGUGGCUAAUAGAAGACACUGCUGAGGUCAGACGAGAGUGCAUCCUCAAAGGUCUGUGUGUACCUAAAUGAAGAUCCAGAGAAGCUGGUGAGGGAGUACAUGGACGUUGAUGAAUGCGCAGAAAUGGCCAAAGCCGAGGCUGUCCUCGGAAUCGUCAUUUGAGCAGAGGGUGCAGAGGCUGCCGAUGCACAUCUGGAUGUUGGGAUUGUCCUGGAGGAGGUGGAAGUUAUGAACAGCUUGGGCAGUGUAUCUUCUGCAAUAGUGAUGCUGCUGGGACUAAUCUAUGCACUAAACUUGAGCUACCCUCAAGUUUAGUGCGUUCAGCACUCAACUUGCUCAGUAACUCAAGCAUACCUUUGAAGUAAUACAGAAAAUAAUAAUGAAAUUGGAUGGAAAGAACUUAUCAAAGAAAGCACAAGUUCUCAAUAUGAAACUCGCUGCUAAGUUG